AUGGCCCUACGGGAGGCAGCAGUAGGAAAUUUUCGUCAAUGGGCGCAAGCCUGAACGAGCGAUGCCGCGUGAGUGAAGAAGGCCUUCGGGUCGUAGAGCUCUGUUGCGGGGGAAAAAAGGCAGCAUCAGGAAAUGGGUGCUGACUGAUGGUGCCCCGCCAGAAAGUCACGGCUAACUACGUGCCAGCAGCCGCGGUAAUACGUAGGUGGCGAGCGUUAUCCGGAAUGAUUGGGCGUAAAGGGUGCGCAGGCGGUCCUGCAAGUCUGGAGUGAAACGCAUGAGCUCAACUCAUGCUU
This 296-nucleotide ribosomal RNA is filed under the name uncultured bacterium. RNAcentral describes it as "partial 16S ribosomal RNA". It matches the Rfam family "Bacterial small subunit ribosomal RNA", at positions 333 to 621 of the family's 1533-position model. The record is from RNAcentral.